RNAcentral lists this signal recognition particle RNA (298 nucleotides) under Saimiri boliviensis boliviensis (Bolivian squirrel monkey). RNAcentral describes it as "Metazoan signal recognition particle RNA (ENSSBOG00000005420.1)". It matches the Rfam family "Metazoan signal recognition particle RNA". From Rfam's summary of the family: The signal recognition particle (SRP) is a universally conserved ribonucleoprotein. It is involved in the co-translational targeting of proteins to membranes. The eukaryotic SRP consists of a 300-nucleotide 7S RNA and six proteins: SRPs 72, 68, 54, 19, 14, and 9. The record is from RNAcentral. Lineage: Eukaryota; Metazoa; Chordata; Mammalia; Primates; Cebidae.
ACCAGGCUUGGUGGCACGUGCCUGUAGUCCCAGCUACGUGGGAGGCUCAGGUGGGAGGAUCACCUGAGCCCAGGAGUUCUGGGCUGUAGUGUGCUAUGCCGAUUGGGUGUCUGUACUAAGUUUGGCAUCAAUAUGGUGACCUCCCAUGAGCGGAGGACCACCAGGUUGCCUAAGGAGGGAUGAACCUGCCCAGGUUGGAAACAGAGAGGUCAAAACUCCCGUGCUGAUCAGUAGUGGGAUCACGCCUGUGAAUAGCCACUGUACCCCAGCCUAGGCAACAUAGCGAGACCCCAUCUCU